GUUAGCAUCCACUUGCUGAAUGGCUCAUUGAGGGGCAUCACAGGCGUGGUGGAGGGCAGGCUGCGCUGUACACAAGCUACUGGUGGCACCAUAUUUUUGUUCACCAUCACAUGGGGCCUCAUCAAAGGGAAGCCAUCGGCAAGUAGUGGAGUCGCCGACCACCACCACCACCACCACAUGCCUACUGGUUCUCCUCACCCGCAAGGUAAGUGUUCUCCUCCAGCUCGUCACAGGACUGAAGGGGAGGCAGCUACAGCCACUCUCCACGGCCAUCCACGUGAGUACACCCGACAGCCUCCUGCCGUGCCCCGACCCACCACACCUCACCUCGCCCCUCCCCGCCCCGUACCUGCCACUAAUGAGACUCACCUUUCAGGGUCUCUCUAUUGGUCUUUGAGUCUUUCAGGGGUGUUUACCUGGUUGUGGAGCUCUCGACUAUUUCUCCUCAUCUUCUUCCUCCUCCUUAUGGUCUCUCCCCUUCCAUCUGUUUCUUUCUCCUCUCUCUUUUUCAUCUCUCGUCCCGCUCCUGUGUCACCCCAGAUCUCCUCACCGCUCAGCUCUUCCCUCUCUGUAGACUCUUGCAUCAUCUAUCUUCUGUACUGGUGCUGCUGGUUCUCUCUCUCUCUCUCUCUCUCUCUCUCUCUCUCUCUCUCUCUCUCUCUCUCUCUCUCUCUCUCUCUCUCUCUCUCUCUCUCUCCAUUUGUUUGCGUCCUUCGUCCUCCUUUACUUUUUCUCUCCUUUCCACCUUCUUUUUCAUCUUUCAUUCCUGCCUCUUUCCCUCCUCUCCCUCCUCCUCCACUUUAUCCUCGCCUUCCUCCUCCUCCUCCUCCUCCUCCUUAUCCUUACACUUAAGUUUCUCCCUUCACGAGAUCUUUGGGAGGCUGCUGGAGAUCCCUCUUGGCAGUCUCUCGUCACCAGCACCACCACCACCACCACUACUGCUGCUGCCACUAACGACAACCACCACCACCACCACCACCACUGCCACCACCACCCCCAGUAAUAGCACCGAUAUUAAAGGAAAAAUUACUGUGUCUCCUGAAGAUGGUGAUGAUGCUGGUGAUAUCCUGCUCCUGCCCCUCCUCGCUUUUUGUAUCGUCAGGUAA
This is a long non-coding RNA of Scylla paramamosain (green mud crab), 1106 nucleotides long. RefSeq lists it as uncharacterized. The record is from RefSeq and is a predicted model, not a curated record. NCBI's taxonomy places the organism in Eukaryota, Metazoa, Arthropoda, Malacostraca, Decapoda, Portunidae. The transcript is spliced from 5 exons.